This 253-nucleotide ribosomal RNA is filed under the name uncultured bacterium. RNAcentral's name for it is "partial 16S ribosomal RNA". It matches the Rfam family "Bacterial small subunit ribosomal RNA", at positions 524 to 776 of the family's 1533-position model. The record is from RNAcentral.
GACGGAGGGUGCUAGCGUUGUUCGGAAUCACUGGGCGUAAAGGGCGCGUAGGCGGCGCCGGCAGUCGGCCGUGAAAGCCCGGGGCUCAACCCCGGAGGUGCGGCCGAGACGCCGGUGCUGGAGGCCGGAAGAGGAGGGUGGAAUACCCAGUGUAGAGGUGAAAUUCGUAGAGAUUGGGGGGAACACCGGUGGCGAAAGCGGCUCUCUGGUCCGGACCUGACGCUGAGGCGCGAAAGAGUGGGGAGCAAACAGG